AGCAGUGUAGCCUAAUAGAAAGAGCAUGGUCCUGGAAAUCAAAGGAUCUGGGUUCUAAUCCCAACUCUGCCA
This 72-nucleotide transfer RNA is filed under the name Ornithorhynchus anatinus (platypus). It matches the Rfam family "tRNA". Rfam says of the family: Transfer RNA (tRNA) molecules are approximately 80 nucleotides in length. Their secondary structure includes four short double-helical elements and three loops (D, anti-codon, and T loops). Lineage: Eukaryota; Metazoa; Chordata; Mammalia; Monotremata; Ornithorhynchidae. The record is from Rfam by way of RNAcentral.